Molecule: ribosomal RNA, 253 nt
Filed under: uncultured bacterium
Lineage: Bacteria
Description: partial 16S ribosomal RNA
Rfam family: Bacterial small subunit ribosomal RNA
Source: RNAcentral
UACAGAGGGUGCAAGCGUUAAUCGGAUUUACUGGGCGUAAAGCGUGCGCAGGCGGCUUUGCAAGACAGAUGUGAAAUCCCCGGGCUCAACCUGGGAACUGCAUUUGUGACCGCAAGGCUAGAGUACGGCAGAGGGGGAUGGAAUUCCGCGUGUAGCAGUGAAAUGCGUAGAUAUGCGGAGGAACACCAAUGGCGAAGGCAAUCCCCUGGGCCUGUACUGACGCUCAUGCACGAAAGCGUGGGGAGCAAACAGG